This 506-nucleotide ribosomal RNA is filed under the name uncultured bacterium. Its description in RNAcentral is "partial 16S ribosomal RNA". It matches the Rfam family "Bacterial small subunit ribosomal RNA", at positions 29 to 523 of the family's 1533-position model. The record is from RNAcentral.
AGUGAACGCUGGCGGUAGGCCUAACACAUGCAAGUCGAACGGCAGCACAGAGGAGCUUGCUCCUUGGGUGGCGAGUGGCGGACGGGUGAGGAAUACAUCGGAAUCUACUCUGUCGUGGGGGAUAACGUAGGGAAACUUACGCUAAUACCGCAUACGACCUACGGGUGAACGCAGGGGAUCUUCGGACCUUGCGCGAUUGGAUGAGCCGAUGUCGGAUUAGCGAGUUGGCGGGGUAAAGGCCCACCAAGGCGACGAUCCGUAGCUGGUCUGAGAGGAUGAUCAGCCACACUGGAACUGAGACACGGUCCAGACUCCUACGGGAGGCAGCAGUGGGGAAUAUUGGACAAUGGGCGCAAGCCUGAUCCAGCCAUACCGCGUGGGUGAAGAAGGCCUUCGGGUUGUAAAGCCCUUUUGUUGGGAAAGAAAUCCAGCUGGCUAAUACCCGGUUGGGAUGACGGUACCCAAAGAAUAAGCACCGGCUAACUUCGUGCCAGCAGCCGCAGUAA